Molecule: ribosomal RNA, 306 nt
Filed under: uncultured bacterium
Lineage: Bacteria
Description: bacterial SSU rRNA
Rfam family: Bacterial small subunit ribosomal RNA
Source: RNAcentral
GUGCCUAACACAUGCAAGUCGAACGAGAAAGGGGCUUCGGCCCUGAGUAAAGUGGCGCACGGGUGAGUAACACGUGGGUAACCUGCCUCUAAGAUUGGGAUAACUCGUCGAAAGAUGAGCUAAUACCAGAUAAGACCACAGCUCCUGCGGGGACAGGGGUCAAAGAUAGCCUAUGCUUGCAAGCUAUCACUUAGAGAUGGGCCUGCGUACCAUUAGCUAGUUGGUAGGGUAACGGCCUACCAAGGCAAAGAUGGUUAGCUGGUCUGAGAGGAUGAUCAGCCACACUGGAACUGAGACACGGUCCAG